Molecule: unclassified non-coding RNA, 376 nt
Filed under: uncultured Chlamydiales bacterium
Lineage: Bacteria; Pseudomonadati; Chlamydiota; Chlamydiia; Chlamydiales
Description: contains 16S-23S intergenic spacer region
Source: RNAcentral
UCCUAGUUAACCUAGGCAGUCUCGUUAGAGUUCCCGCCUUCACGCGUUGGCAACUAACGAUAAGGGUUGCGCUCGUUGCUGGACUUAACCAAACACCUCACGGCACGAGCUGACGACAGCCAUGCAGCACCUAUAUAGAGACCCUUUCGGGAAAUAACAUCUCUGUUAUCGUCCUCUACAUUUCGAGCCCAGGUAAGGUUCUUCGCGUUGCAUCGAAUUAAACCACAUGCUCCACUGCUUGUGCGGGCCCCCGUCAAUUCUUUUGAGUUUCACCCUUGCGAGCGUACUCCCCAGGCGGCAUAUUUAACGCGUUAGCUCCGGCACGGACAGAAUGAACUGCCCACACCAAAUAUGCAUCGUUUAGGGUGUGGACUAC